RNAcentral lists this ribosomal RNA (702 nucleotides) under uncultured Bacilli bacterium. Its description in RNAcentral is "bacterial SSU rRNA". It matches the Rfam family "Bacterial small subunit ribosomal RNA", at positions 51 to 736 of the family's 1533-position model. The record is from RNAcentral. Lineage: Bacteria; Bacillati; Bacillota; Bacilli.
AUACAUGCAAGUAGAACGCUGAAGAGAGGAGCUUGCUCUUCUUGGAUGAGUUGCGAACGGGUGAGUAACGCGUAGGUAACCUGCCUGGUAGCGGGGGAUAACUAUUGGAAACGAUAGCUAAUACCGCAUAAAAUGGAUUAUCGCAUGAUAAUGCAUUGAAAGGUGCAAAUGCAUCACUACCAGAUGGACCUGCGUUGUAUUAGCUAGUUGGUGGGGUAACGGCUCACCAAGGCGACGAUACAUAGCCGACCUGAGAGGGUGAUCGGCCACACUGGGACUGAGACACGGCCCAGACUCCUACGGGAGGCAGCAGUAGGGAAUCUUCGGCAAUGGACGGAAGUCUGACCGAGCAACGCCGCGUGAGUGAAGAAGGUUUUCGGAUCGUAAAGCUCUGUUGUAAGAGAAGAACGAGUGUGAGAGUGGAAAGUUCACACUGUGACGGUAUCUUACCAGAAAGGGACGGCUAACUACGUGCCAGCAGCCGCGGUAAUACGUAGGUCCCGAGCGUUGUCCGGAUUUAUUGGGCGUAAAGCGAGCGCAGGCGGUUAGAUAAGUCUGAAGUUAAAGGCUGUGGCUUAACCAUAGUACGCUUUGGAAACUGUUUAACUUGAGUGCAAGAGGGGAGAGUGGAAUUCCAUGUGUAGCGGUGAAAUGCGUAGAUAUAUGGAGGAACACCGGUGGCGAAAGCGGCUCUCUGGCUUG